Musa acuminata AAA Group (dessert banana) is the source of this 922-nucleotide long non-coding RNA. RefSeq lists it as uncharacterized. NCBI's taxonomy places the organism in Eukaryota, Viridiplantae, Streptophyta, Magnoliopsida, Zingiberales, Musaceae. The record is from RefSeq and is a predicted model, not a curated record. The transcript has 3 exons.
GUCAUAAUCUUCUGGCUGUCGGUGUCAUCAGAGUAAACAAAUUUUACCUUCUUGUAUGUCUUCUGGUCCAGAAAAGGCUUCACCACCUACAAAAUCCAAAACCAAUGAGAUGAAGCAUUGUGCCUCACAUUAAGCUGAAGAAUGUUGUUCUUGACUCGAGACAUUGUACAGAAGUCGCAGCAGUAAAUAACAAUGCAUGCCCAGCUUCGAAGACCGGUACCGGUUUACCUAAUCAGGAAUCAACUAAAUAGAGUGAUGGCGGUGACAGAUGUGCCCAGUGCAAUGCCGGCCCUCUCGAAAACAAAUUGAAAGGCAAUGUAUGAUGAUGUUAGCCUAAUCCGCACUAGCUACAGAAACAUCGGACUCAAUGGAGUGGAUGAACUUGUACAUGGUAAGCAUCCGGUUAUGAUCGGCUUGCAUCGGACUCGAUGGAGCGGAUGAACUUGUAAAUGGUCAACAUCUGGUUAUGAUCGGACUCAAUGGAGUGGAUGAGAUGAACUUGUACAUGGUAAGCAUUCGGUUAUGAUCGUCUCACAUCGGACUCUCGGACUCAAUGGAGCGGAUGAACUUGUAAAUGGUCAACAUCUGGUUAUGAUCAGACUCAACGGAGUGGAUGAGAUGAACUUGUGUACAUGAUCGUCUCACAUCGGACUCUCGGACUCAAUGGAGUGGAUGAACUUGUAAAAUGGUUAUGCUCGGACUCGAUGAAGGAGAUGAACUUGUGUCCACCAUUGAGAGACAAUUUGAGGUUGGUGGCCAAUGAGGUCAAAGUAUUGUCGAAUUUAGUCAUAUUAAUAUGAUAUGGGGGUGUCAAAACGAUGUACUGAUUGAUUCCACAUUCUGAAAGCUAAUGGUAAUUUCUUGUUUUUGGGGAAAGGAAAAAGGAAACAAAGAAAAAGAUGGUUGAAGUGCACACCCAACG